GCCUCGCUAGCUCAAUCGGUAGAGCGUGAGACUCUUAAAAAGUCAGGCGGAUUGAGAUCAUCUCAAGGUUGCGGGUUCGACCCCCGCGUGGGGCU
This is a non-coding RNA of Ramaria rubella, 95 nucleotides long. NCBI's taxonomy places the organism in Eukaryota, Fungi, Basidiomycota, Agaricomycetes, Gomphales, Gomphaceae. The record is from the annotation of a GenBank genome assembly.